UACGUAGGGUGCGAGCGUUGUCCGGAAUUACUGGGCGUAAAGGGCUCGCAGGCGGCCGACUAAGUCAGACGUGAAAUCCCUUGGCUUAACCAAGGAAUGGCGUCUGAUACUGGACGGCUUGAAUUCGGGAGAGGGAUGUGGAAUUCCAGGUGUAGCGGUGAAAUGCGUAGAUAUCUGGAGGAACACCGGUGGCGAAGGCGGCAUCCUGGACCGAUAUUGACGCUGAGGAGCGAAAGCCAGGGGAGCAAACGGG
RNAcentral lists this ribosomal RNA (253 nucleotides) under uncultured bacterium. Its description in RNAcentral is "partial 16S ribosomal RNA". It matches the Rfam family "Bacterial small subunit ribosomal RNA", at positions 524 to 776 of the family's 1533-position model. The record is from RNAcentral.